RNAcentral lists this non-coding RNA (28 nucleotides) under Homo sapiens (human). The record is from RNAcentral. Lineage: Eukaryota; Metazoa; Chordata; Mammalia; Primates; Hominidae.
GCCUCUGGUUGUGUGGCCUCGAAGGGUA